UUUUGACAAAAUUUUGGGAUUGAAUUUUGGAUUUUGAAUUAAUUUUUCCUCUUUGGAGUUUCAGAUAUUGACUUGUCGUGGAUUCUGUGAAUUGGCUUCAAGUUCGAGAUGUCCAAGUGUGCUCCAGGAAGUUUGCAUCUUGCCGAAUUCGCGUCAUCGACAACGUGGUCCAGUAGUCUUCGUUGGAUUUCGGGAGUAAGAUGUGUAUAAUCGUUUUCCGGAUAACUAGAAUAUUCAAACAAAUACUUGCUUUUGUCAAAGAUUGUGUUAAAAAAAUCAUAAAAAUGCCGUUGCGAUAUUAAGAACCACCUCCUUGAGAUUUUCCUGACCCCUUUCGGAGAUUUUUCAGACCCUUUCCUGAAAUCUUCCUGACACCUAUUUGAGAUUUUCCGGAACCCUUUCCUGAGAAUUUCCUGUGAUCCCUGUCCUCAUUCUUCUUUUCUAUUUACAAUUUCAGGGUCCUCCUAAUUUUUAAUUUUCCUUAU
This is a long non-coding RNA of Belonocnema kinseyi, 485 nucleotides long. RefSeq lists it as uncharacterized. NCBI's taxonomy places the organism in Eukaryota, Metazoa, Arthropoda, Insecta, Hymenoptera, Cynipidae. The transcript has 2 exons. The record is from RefSeq and is a predicted model, not a curated record.